GAAAUGCGAUAAGUAGUGUGAAUUGCAGAAUUCAGUGAAUCAUCGAAUCUUUGAACGCACAUUGCUCCCCUUGGUAUUCCAUGGGGCAUGCCUGUUCGAGCGUCAUUUGUACCCUCAAGCUCUGCUUGGUGUUGGGUGUUUGUCCCGUCUCCGCGCGUGGACUCGCCCCAAAGUGAUUGGCAGCCGGCGUACUGGUCCCGGAGCGCAGCACAUGUCGCGCAAACGAGUGCCUUGGUACGGCGGCGUCCAUAAGCCCCUCUCUCACGCUCUUGACCUCGGAUCAGGUAGGGAUACCCGCUGAACUUAAGC
Molecule: unclassified non-coding RNA, 309 nt
Filed under: plant metagenome
Description: partial contains 5.8S ribosomal RNA, internal transcribed spacer 2, and large subunit ribosomal RNA
Rfam family: 5.8S ribosomal RNA (bases 1-105)
Source: RNAcentral